This 461-nucleotide ribosomal RNA is filed under the name uncultured Sphingobacteriales bacterium. Its description in RNAcentral is "bacterial SSU rRNA". It matches the Rfam family "Bacterial small subunit ribosomal RNA", at positions 924 to 1382 of the family's 1533-position model. Lineage: Bacteria; Pseudomonadati; Bacteroidota; Sphingobacteriia; Sphingobacteriales. The record is from RNAcentral.
CACAAGCGGAGGAGCAUGUGGUUUUAAUUCGAUGAUACGCGGAGGAACCUUACCUGGGCUCGAACGUAAGAUGACUGUAGGUGAAAGCUUACAUCUCUUCGGAGCUAUUUUACGAGGUGCUGCAUGGUUGUCGUCAGCUCGUGCCGUGAGGUGUCGGGUUAGGUCCCAUAACGAGCGCAACCCCUACCUUUAGUUGCCAUCAGGUUAAGCUGGGGACUCUAAAGGAACUGCCUACGCAAGUAGUGAGGAAGGCGGGGAUGACGUCAAAUCAGCACGGCCCUUACGUCCAGGGCUACACACGUGCUACAAUGGCCGAUACAGAGGGCAGCUACCUGGUGACAGGAUGCAAAUCUCCAAAGUCGGUCUCAGUUCGGAUCGGAGUCUGCAACCCGACUCCGUGAAGUUGGAUUCGCUAGUAAUCGCGCAUCAGCCAUGGCGCGGUGAAUACGUUCCCGGGCCUU